CCUAACAACACACAACAUUCCAGGAAUGUACUACCAAAGUUCUAUCAAUAUUUGAAUGUCCUGGACAUUUAGGGAACAUUCGGUGAACAUCUGAUUAAAUUAUUCGUGGAAUGUUACCAUAAGACAUUCUGUGAACAUACUACCAAUGUUCCUGUUCAUUUUCAAAUUCACGGCGCAUGUAUUUGUGCAUGGUGCUUAGAGAGGGCAUCACGUGACUAAAAACGACCAAUGACCUCACUUCAGACUUCGGUUCGGCCAUCUUGACAUGCAUCUUGCCUUGGCCACCUUGCCGUGCGUGAUCGUUGUUUGUUUUUAUUUGUGCUUUUUAAGAAUAUUUUUUAAUUCGGAUACUUUUAUAAUAACUUUAAUAGUAUUAUUAAUAUAGUGCAUAAAAUCAGUUGGAGUAGCAGAAGCAAUGUAGAUAAAAAAUCUGCAGGAAUAAUGUUUCAAAGCUUUCCAGAAGAUCCUGCGAAGAAGGCAUGAAGUAUUGAUCAGAUUUGUUAAUAGAGCAGUAUGUUCAAAACAUUUUUUAGAAAAAGAUAUUGACAGAACUUCACUUUCAACCGUUUGAGAGACUGUGCUGUUCCAAUAGCUUAUAUCACACAGAAUCAGCUGAGAGAAGUGGUCUACAAAAAACCAGGAAGGAAAUGGAAUAUGUGGCUAUGAAAGGCAAAAGAAAGGUUUACAAAGCAAAUGUGACACAUUUUUUUAUAGGAAUAUCAGUAAAUUACAUUAAAAAAAUGUAUGAAAAGAUUUUUUGCAAUAAAAAUGUUUAUAUUUAUCAAGCAUGCAUUAUUUGGUAUGGCCACAUAUCGUCAGUGAUGUGACAAUACCUCCUAUCUGUUUUUUCAUGAGAUUUGUAAGAUAGACUAAAAACUUGUUUGGGCCACCUCCUGUUUUCAUAUAUUUUUUGACUUGUUUUGCAGUAAAUUUAACUAUCUAUUUACUACAAAACAAGCCAGAACUUACGUAUGCAAACAGGAGGUGACCUUAAAAAAUGUUUUUCGUCUCCUGCAAACCUCAUGAAAAAAGA
RNAcentral lists this long non-coding RNA (1033 nucleotides) under Diabrotica virgifera virgifera (western corn rootworm). RNAcentral describes it as "uncharacterized LOC126891944". Lineage: Eukaryota; Metazoa; Arthropoda; Insecta; Coleoptera; Chrysomelidae. The record is from RNAcentral.